Molecule: long non-coding RNA, 1236 nt
Organism: Diabrotica virgifera virgifera (western corn rootworm)
Lineage: Eukaryota; Metazoa; Arthropoda; Insecta; Coleoptera; Chrysomelidae
Exons: 2
Source: RefSeq, a predicted model, not a curated record
UAACCACACUCUGACACUCGCGAUACUUGCAGAUACUUAAUACCACAGCAUACACGCGGCUCAAAUUAGCGUGUACCAAAAAAACCCAGUCAUAGUACACGCUAAAUAAUGACAUCACUGACUUGAUGACGUUUAAGCGUGUACCUAACUUUUUUAUUUGCGUACACGUUAGCGUGUACCUAGACACAGCGUUGUUUCUUAUUAAAUUUGACAAAUUUGACACCUAAUUUGACAAAUUUGUCCUUCAAACUAUCUAGGAAGCAUGAUUUGAGUUUCCACUAGACUUGUGUUAUGGACGGAUUUUACGGGCUGUGAUUGGUCGUAUUCAAAUCAAUGACAUAUUUGAUGAUGACAUUUAAAAGAAAUACGUAACCCUGUUUUCUCGUUUGUUUUUGUUUAUGCAGUGUGUUUAUGUUAUACAAAAGAAAAAUAUUGAUAUUUUAGUUAUUAAUCUUGGUUUUGAGACUAUUUUAUACGUUUAUACUUGUUUAUUGUAUUCAUUUUUAAACAGCCAUAUUAUUUCCAGCAAAAGUUAUGGAACGUUUACAGAUACAUAGUAAUAUUUAUAAAAAAAAAAACAAAUUACUUUCUGCUUGCUUCCUAUAUUUUGUAAAUUUUUAAAGCUUCCUCCCAGACUCAUUUGAGUAUAAGGUGGUUAAUUUUUCCGAAAUAAAUGGAAGGGAUGGCGCAUUUAAUGCAGUGAUUUGAGCUAAUAUAACAACACAAGAAGAUGCUCAAAAUUGUCAAAAAGAAUAUGAAAAUGUUAAUAAAGUAAAUUUUAGAGUUCUAAGAACUUAUCCAAAUGAUUCUAUGAAGCUUGUUUUCAAGAAAGACUAUCGAUGCCAUCGCAAUACUCAGGCUAAUUUGCCUUCAUCAAAGACAAAAAAUCCGUCAUCUAAACAUGUUAACUGUCAGGCAUUCUUAAGAAUUACAGUGAAACAAUCAAGUAUGAAAAGGUAAAGUCUAUUUGCUAAUCUGAGACACAACUACUGUCUAGUGACGUUGGUAAUUUUUUUUGAGAAGUUGGUUGCUAGACGUAACUGGAAAAGACUACACAACCAAACAUAACUACUCAUAGCCAAUAUUAUUAUUAACAGUAAACAGGCAUAAAUAACAUAACAUACACCAAUCAAUAAUUAUUUAUUUACACCUUUAUAAUGUAUUGAUAACAGAUGAGAGAAGCAUUUAUUGUACAAAAUAAAAAUAUUUUAUAGAAAUAAAUUCCACAAAAUUUUA